Molecule: ribosomal RNA, 383 nt
Filed under: uncultured bacterium
Lineage: Bacteria
Description: bacterial SSU rRNA
Rfam family: Bacterial small subunit ribosomal RNA
Source: RNAcentral
GACGAACGCUGGCGGCGUGCUUAACACAUGCAAGUCGAGCGGUAAGGCCCUUUCGGGGGUACACGAGCGGCGAACGGGUGAGUAACACGUGGGUGACCUGCCCUUAGCUCCGGGAUAAGCCUGGGAAACUGGGUCUAAUACCGGAUAUGACUCCAUGACGCAUGUUGUGGGGUGGAAAGCCUUGUGCGGCUAGGGAUGGGCCCGCGGCCUAUCAGCUUGUUGGUGGGGUGAUGGCCUACCAAGGCGACGACGGGUAGCCGGCCUGAGAGGGCGACCGGCCACACUGGGACUGAGACACGGCCCAGACUCCUACGGGAGGCAGCAGUGGGGAAUCUUGCGCAAUGGGCGAAAGCCUGACGCAGCGACGCCGCGUGAGGGAUGAC